GCAGGUCAAGGGCUACCAACUCAACUGGUGGCCAUAGGGAUCACCAAGGGCUACCUGGGGCAGGUCAAGGGCUACCAACUCAACUGGUGGCCAUAGGGAUCACCAAGGGCUACCUGGGCUAGGCCAGGCUCUGCCAACUCAAGUGGUAGCCACAGGGAUGGCCAAGGUUUACCAACUCAAGUGGUGGCCACAGGGAUCACCAAGGGCUACCUGGGCCAGGUCAAGGUCUACC
RNAcentral lists this long non-coding RNA (232 nucleotides) under Calidris pugnax (ruff). RNAcentral describes it as "lncRNA (ENSCPUG00000000110.1)". Lineage: Eukaryota; Metazoa; Chordata; Aves; Charadriiformes; Scolopacidae. The record is from RNAcentral.